UACGAAGGGGGCUAGCGUUGUUCGGAUUCAUUGGGCGUAAAGGGUGCGUAGGUGGCGGGGUAAGUCAGGUGUGAAAUCUCGGGGCUCAACCCCGAAACUGCACUUGAUACUGCCUUGCUCGAGUACUGGAGAGGAGAUUGGAAUUUACGGUGUAGCAGUGAAAUGCGUAGAUAUCGUAAGGAAGACCAGUGGCGAAGGCGAAUCUCUGGACAGUUACUGACACUGAGGCACGAAGGCCAGGGGAGCAAACGGG
RNAcentral lists this ribosomal RNA (253 nucleotides) under uncultured bacterium. Its description in RNAcentral is "partial 16S ribosomal RNA". It matches the Rfam family "Bacterial small subunit ribosomal RNA", at positions 524 to 776 of the family's 1533-position model. The record is from RNAcentral.